CGGCCCGUAGCUCAAUGGUCAGAGCCGACUCCUUAUAAGGGUCAGACGACGGUUCGACUCCGUCCGGGCCGA
Molecule: transfer RNA, 72 nt
Filed under: Planctomycetota bacterium
Lineage: Bacteria; Pseudomonadati; Planctomycetota
Description: Planctomycetes bacterium tRNA-Ile
Rfam family: tRNA
About the family: Transfer RNA (tRNA) molecules are approximately 80 nucleotides in length. Their secondary structure includes four short double-helical elements and three loops (D, anti-codon, and T loops).
Source: RNAcentral